UAUGCCUGGACGUAACACGGCACCACCCCGCCCGCCAAAUAACUACGAGUGAAAACUUAAAACUUAAAAGACUUGACGGUACUUCACACCCAACCUAGAGGAGCCUGUCUACUAACCGAUAAUCCACGAUUAACCCAACCACUUCUAGCCACCCAGCCUAUAUACCACCGUCGCCAGCCUACCUUGUAAAAGAAACAAAGUGAGCCAAACAGUACUACACUAACACGACAGGUCAAGGUGUAACUAAUGAAGCGGACUAAGAUGGGCUACAUUCUCUACCCCAGAUUACACGAACAAGGCUAUGAAACUAACCUUUAAAGGCGGAUUUAGCAGUAAGCUGAGAACAAAAUACUCAACUGAAACCAAUGCAAUGAAGUGCGUACACACCGCCCGUCACCCUCUGCAGUCACUUUA
Molecule: ribosomal RNA, 414 nt
Filed under: Uropeltis cf. phipsonii
Lineage: Eukaryota; Metazoa; Chordata; Lepidosauria; Squamata; Uropeltidae
Description: partial small subunit ribosomal RNA
Source: RNAcentral